ACGCGCGGAACCUUACCAGGUCUUGACAUCCCACUGACCGCUAUGGAGACAUAGCUUUCCCUUCGGGGACAGUGGUGACAGGUGGUGCAUGGUUGUCGUCAGCUCGUGUCGUGAGAUGUUGGGUUAAGUCCCGCAACGAGCGCAACCCUUGAUCUUAGUUGCCAGCAUUAAGUUGGGCACUCUAAGGUGACUGCCGGUGACAAACCGGAGGAAGGUGGGGAUGACGUCAAAUCAUCAUGCCCCUUAUGACCUGGGCUACACACGUGCUACAAUGGAUGGUACAAAGGGCAGCAAAACCGCGAGGUCGAGCAAAUCCCAUAAAACCAUUCUCAGUUCGGAUUGUAGGCUGCAACUCGCCUACAUGAAGCUGGAAUCGCUAGUAAUCGCGGAUCAGCAUGCCGCGGUGAAUACGUUCCCGGGCCUUGCACUCACCGCCCGU
Molecule: ribosomal RNA, 439 nt
Filed under: uncultured bacterium
Lineage: Bacteria
Description: bacterial SSU rRNA
Rfam family: Bacterial small subunit ribosomal RNA
Source: RNAcentral